AACGCUGGCGGCGCGCUUAACACAUGCAAGUCGAGCGAGAACCGGAGCUUCGGCUCCGGGGACAGCGGCGAACGGGUGAGUAACACGUGGGUAAUCUGCCCUCGGUUCUGGGAUAGCCCGGGGAAACCCGGAUUAAUACCGGAUAGCCUUUCUGGCCCUCGGGCCGGUGAGAAAGGUAGCUUCGGCCUCCGACUGAGGAUGAGCCCGCGGCGGAUUAGCUUGUUGGCGGGGUAACGGCCCACCAAGGCGA
This 250-nucleotide ribosomal RNA is filed under the name uncultured Actinomycetes bacterium. RNAcentral's name for it is "uncultured actinobacterium partial 16S ribosomal RNA". It matches the Rfam family "Bacterial small subunit ribosomal RNA", at positions 32 to 276 of the family's 1533-position model. Lineage: Bacteria; Bacillati; Actinomycetota; Actinomycetes. The record is from RNAcentral.